This 497-nucleotide ribosomal RNA is filed under the name uncultured bacterium. RNAcentral describes it as "partial 16S ribosomal RNA". It matches the Rfam family "Bacterial small subunit ribosomal RNA", at positions 28 to 507 of the family's 1533-position model. The record is from RNAcentral.
GAUGAACGCUGGCGGCGUGCCUAAUACAUGCCAGUCGAGCGAACAGACGAGGAGCUUGCUCCUCUGACGUUAGCGGCGGACGGGUGAGUAACACGUGGAUAACCUACCUAUAAGACUGGGAUAACUUCGGGAAACCGGAGCUAAUACCGGAUAAUAUAUUGAACCGCAUGGUUCAAUAGUGAAAGACGGUUUUGCUGUCACUUAUAGAUGGAUCCGCGCCGCAUUAGCUAGUUGGUAAGGUAACGGCUUACCAAGGCAACGAUGCGUAGCCGACCUGAGAGGGUGAUCGGCCACCAUGGAAAUGAGACACGGUCCAGACUCCUAAGGGAGGCAGCCGUAGGGAAUCUUCCGCAAUGGGCGAAAGCCUGACGGAGCAACGCCGCGUUGGUGAUGAAGGUCUUCGGAUCGUAAAACUCUGUUAUUAGGGAAGAACAAAUGUGUAAGUAACUAUGCACGUCUUGACGGUACCUAAUCAGAAAGCCACGGCUAACUACGUG